RNAcentral lists this long non-coding RNA (522 nucleotides) under Populus tremula. Its description in RNAcentral is "long non-coding RNA (PTRE_LNC000255)". Lineage: Eukaryota; Viridiplantae; Streptophyta; Magnoliopsida; Malpighiales; Salicaceae. The record is from RNAcentral.
CCCCCGCCCCACCAGUGGUCACUCCUUCCACACCGUUGUACAAGCCACCAACUCCCGCGCCACCAGUUAAGACACCACCGCCAGUCAACCCCCCCACACCUGUGCCUCCUGUGAAGCCACCCACUACUCCCGCCCCACCGUCUACAAGCCACCACCUCCAGCACCAUCAGUCAACCCCCCCACACCUGUGCCUCCGUGAAGCCACCCACUACUCCCGCCCCACCGAUCUACAAGCCACCAUCUCCAGCACCGCCAGUCAAUCCCCCCACACCUGUGCCUCCUGUGAAGCCACCCACUACUCCUGCCCCACCGGUCUACAAGCCACCAUCCCCAGCACCCACACCCGUGCCUCCAGUGAAGCCACCCACUACUGGACCAAUGCCUCCGCCAGUUAGGACAAGAUCGGGUAACAUAUCCAUCACUUACAGAAGUUAACAUGAACUUAACAUGGCCCUCUUUCCUUGUUUUAGCUAUACAGAUAAGAUCAUAGAUUAACAAGUUUGGUGGCUUUAUUGGCAGAUU